This 537-nucleotide ribosomal RNA is filed under the name uncultured bacterium. Its description in RNAcentral is "bacterial SSU rRNA". It matches the Rfam family "Bacterial small subunit ribosomal RNA", at positions 528 to 1063 of the family's 1533-position model. The record is from RNAcentral.
GGGGGUGCAACGUUGUUCGGAAUUAUUGGGCGUAAAGAGCGUGUAGGCGGCCUGAUGUGUCAGAUGUGAAAGCCCUGGGCUUAACCCAGGAAGUGCAUUUGAAACUGUCAGGCUUGAGUAGGGGAGAGGGAAGUGGAAUUCCUGGUGUAGAGGUGAAAUUCGUAGAUAUCAGGAGGAACACCGGUGGCGAAGGCGACUUCCUGGCCCUAUACUGACGCUGAGACGCGAGAGCGUGGGUAGCAAACAGGAUUAGAUACCCUGGUAGUCCACGCCGUAAACGAUGUUCACUAGGUGUUGGGGGUAUUGACCCCCUCAGUGCCGGAGCUAACGCGUUAAGUGAACCGCCUGGGGAGUACGGUCGCAAGACUAAAACUCAAAGGAAUUGACGGGGGCCCGCACAAGCGGUGGAGCAUGUGGUUUAAUUCGAUGCAACGCGAAGAACCUUACCUGGGCUUGACAUCCACGGAACCUGCUGGAAACAGCANGGUGCCCUUCGGGGAGCCGUGAGACAGGUGCUGCAUGCUGUCGUCAGCUCGU